This is a long non-coding RNA of Dromaius novaehollandiae (emu), 541 nucleotides long. RefSeq lists it as uncharacterized. The transcript has 6 exons. The record is from RefSeq and is a predicted model, not a curated record. Lineage: Eukaryota; Metazoa; Chordata; Aves; Casuariiformes; Dromaiidae.
CCUGCAGCACGUACUUCUUGUCUUCGGGGAAGGAUCUUGCUUGUCCCAGUACAUUGGAACCCGUCUGUGGGACUGAUGGUGUGACUUACCCCAACGAGUGCUUACUCUGUAGAGAAAUCUGGCGUCGCAAAAAGGUUGACAAAAAGCAUGAUGGAAAAUGCAUUCAGGCCUCCUGCAGCACGUACUUCUUGUCUUCGGGGAAAGAUCUUGCUUGUCCCAGUACAUUGGAACCCGUCUGUGGGACUGAUGGUGUGACUUACCCCAACGAGUGCUUACUCUGUAGAGAAAUCUGGCGUCGCAAAGCAGUUGACAAAAAGCAUGAUGGAAAAUGCAUUCAGGCCUCCUGCAGCACGUACUUCUUGUCUUCGGGGAAAGAUCUUGCUUGUCCCAGUACAUUGGAACCCGUCUGUGGGACUGAUGGUGUGACUUACCCCAACGAGUGCUUACUCUGUAGAGAAAUCUGGCGUCGCAAAGCAGUUGACAAAAAGCAUGAUGGAAAAUGCAUUCAGGUAUAGUCCAAGAUCCGUUCCACUCCUUCUUG